RNAcentral lists this small RNA (971 nucleotides) under Histoplasma capsulatum. RNAcentral's name for it is "hypothetical RNA". Lineage: Eukaryota; Fungi; Ascomycota; Eurotiomycetes; Onygenales; Ajellomycetaceae. RNAcentral also lists the same sequence under 1 other name. The record is from RNAcentral.
UGCCAAUGAGACAUCCUUAACGAUAUCUUGUUCGUCAAAUCGAACUCGGAAACCUGCCGUGACAAUAGCAAUGUCAUCGUCCUUUCGUUUGGCCUGUUUGUAUGAUUUUGUGACCUCGCGUGCAUCUGCCGGGGGGAUAGGAAUGCGAAUCUGAGUAAUGAUGCCUCCCUGCGGCAGCGCUGUUUUCCUGUACCCACGGAACAUCGUUACCAUUGGAAUCAAAUGCUCCUUCUCAGCAGUCCUAGAAACUACAGUCGCAUUAAUAGCCAAAAGAACCGGAUUCAUAUCUGAUAUGGGGGAUGCCGUGGCAAUAUUUCCAGCUAGGGAUGCCACAUUUCGAAUCUGGCGCCCGGCAAAAUAUCUGAGAACUUUAGCCAUCGCCCCGAACACUGAUCCUCUUCGACCCAGCUUUGACGAUAGGCCAUAGCAAACAUGUUCAAUAUCUGUCAAAGGUGCAUUUCCACCAAUCACAAGUUCACUCGAGGUAGACAGAUCAGCGGGUACUGAAAUUUUGUUAAGUUCUUCGAUGUCCGAAACAAAGACUGAAACUGCAAAUUCCGAGCCUUUAAAUCGGAUCUCAACCUGGAUUUCGCUUGCGCCGCUGACAAUAGUCGCGGAUGGGAACGCAGCCAUGAUGUCGACUAAUUGCUGUAAAUUCGUCGGUCGGAGCCAUAUUUUCUCUUUAUCACCGUAGCAUACAGGAUUAUCGACAAACUUCGACAGCGAAGGUGGGUAAAUUAACUCUGAUGAAGGGGAAUACUCUGCAAGCUCAACUUGGGGAACUUUUUUGGACGGCUGAAGCGUGAUUUCUUCUGAAAGGCUGGUCUGGGAACUAUGUUCGUCCGCAGAAGUGGAUCCCGUUGAUGUCGAAGAAUCCGAUGGACGGGAUUCGUUGUUGAUCUUAUCGCGGCAACAUCCCCCGGAUCUGCCGCAUGAGCCAGUUGAGGAUUUGUGCACGUUGGUAAACUGCC